Molecule: ribosomal RNA, 908 nt
Filed under: uncultured bacterium
Lineage: Bacteria
Description: bacterial SSU rRNA
Rfam family: Bacterial small subunit ribosomal RNA
Source: RNAcentral
AGAGUUUGAUCAUGGCUCAGGAUGAACGCUAGCGGCAGGCCUAACACAUGCAAGUCGAGGGGUAGCAGGGUAGCAAUAUCGCUGACGACCGGCGCACGGGUGAGUAAUGCGUAUGCAACCUUCCUUUAACUGGGGCAUAGCCCGGAGAAAUCCGGAUUAAUACCCCAUGACAUCAUGAAAAGGCAUCUUUUUAUGAUUAAAGCUCCGGCGGUUAAAGAUGGGCAUAUGUGCCAUUAGCUUGUUGGUGAGGUAACGGCUCACCAAGGCUGCGAUGGCUAGGGGGUCUGAGAGGAUGAUCCCCCACACUGGUACUGAGACACGGACCAGACUCCUACGGUAGGCAGCAGUGAGGAAUAUUGGGCAAUGGGCGCAAGCCUGACCCAGCCAUGCCGCGUGAAGGAUGAAUGCCCUAUGGGUUGUAAACUUCUUUUGUACGGGACAAAACUCCUGGUCGUGACCGGGAUUGAUGGUACCGUACGAAUAAGCAUCGGCUAACUCCGUGCCAGCAGCCGCGGUAAUACGGAGGAUGCAAGCGUUAUCCGGAUUCAUUGGGUUUAAAGGGUGCGUAGGCGGAAUAGCAAGUCAGCGGUGAAAGCCUGUGGCUUAACCAUAGAAAUGCCGUUGAUACUGUUAUUCUUGAGUGUAGUUGAAGUGGGCGGAAUGUGUAAUGUAGCGGUGAAAUGCUUAGAUAUUACACAGAACACCAAUUGCGAAGGCAGCUCACUAAGCUAAUACUGACGCUGAGGCACGAAAGCGUGGGGAGCAAACAGGAUUAGAUACCCUGGUAGUCCACGUCGUAAACGAUGAUCACUCGUUGUUGGCGAUACACCGUCAGCGACUGAGCGAAAGCAAUAAGUGAUCCACCUGGGGAGUACGGUCGCAAGACUGAAACUCAAAGGAAUUGACGG